Molecule: long non-coding RNA, 1073 nt
Organism: Oncorhynchus tshawytscha (Chinook salmon)
Lineage: Eukaryota; Metazoa; Chordata; Actinopteri; Salmoniformes; Salmonidae
Source: Ensembl
CAGCAGUCACGCGCAUUUCACAUGAGAGGUAUCUCCCGUUCCUUUGCUUUUCUGAAGACAAAGGAAUUCUCCGGUUGGAAUAUUAUUGAAGAUUUAUGUUAAAAACAUCCUAAAGAUUGAUUCCAUACAUCAUUUGACUAGUUUCUAUGGACUGUCACGGAACUUUUUGACAUUUCGUCUGCAACUAGUGAAUGCGCUUCGUGAGUUUUGAUUUGUUUACCAAACGCGCUAUUUGGACAUAAAUGAUGGACAUUAUCGAACAAAUCAAACAUUUAUUGUGGAACUGGGAUACCUGGUAGUGCAUUCUGAUGAAGAUCAUCAAAGUCUUAAGCUAUAACUCUCUUAGGAACCAUAAGGAGAGAGUGGAGAAACAAAAAAGCGCUCCAGCUGACAUGGAACAAGACAGCAGAUUCAGCUAGAAUGACAUUUUAUUGUGUGAUGAGAGAUGGAAAUAAAAUUGUGUAUGAUGUGAUUAUAGAACAGAGGCCAUAAGUCUCUGAGUUUGUAAACCUCACGGUGAAUGUUUGUUAUCAUUGUUAGUUCCAUUUGUUAGUUUUUAAAUUCAUGUUUUAUGAUCGUUCGUCCAUUAAUUAGUAAUUUCCAAGUUUAUAUAUUAUAUAUUUAUAUUUAUAUAUAUUGAACAUUAGGAUGCUAUUGUUCAAGAGGGACUGUUGGAUUUGAAAUGUUGAAAAUUGAGAUAUUAAAGACAUGAUAGAUCAGACACAUAGUAUAUAAAGGAGUGAGAUCUGUAAGACAGAGUGGCUGUGGAAUGUGCUGGGUGGAUGGGAGGAGAUCAAAGGAUUGCUAUAGGGGAAGCAGAUGAACAUCUUUGGAUUAGGCGAAGGAGGGGUUGAGGUCAGGUCAGAUCCCAUGAAGGGAGUAAUAAGGGUUUACUACCCACUCCCUGUUUAAAACCGUAAGAUGUUAGGAUUGGAGAGAAGGAGGAGUGUCUUAAGUGGGAUAUUUAUACCUGUGAUGGUGAGAAAUGUCUGGUUGUCUGAAUUACAGCUACAACCCUUUGGGAAGAAUUAAACUUGGUUAAGCUUCUCUAGUGUCCGUGAGUUAUUUCCUCU